AUUGCACGCCAACAAGUUUUUAACAUCCCAAAGGUGCGCUCGAUGAUGUUCCGUGCUUGUGCAUGAUGCCUGUUGUAUCGGGCUUCAACUUGGCCUGUUAAUCAAAAAUCGUGUAGAAAAUGUGUGGUGUAUUGCAAAUUCAUGACAGUAACAAUUUGGUUUAUCGUGUGUGUGUGUCUGUCUGUCUGUCUGACAUAAAAAAGUGUUCUUACUUGCGACAGGCUGGCGGUAUGGGGUCAUGAUUGCAAUAGGAUGCUGCAGGCAAGGGUAUCCACCAUCUCCCAAAAGAUAGUAUCCAGCUGGUGGAUACAGAGCCUGCUGCAUUGCAGGAGGAACAAUCCUGAUGUGGCACCCGUCGAUGGCACCAGCAGCACAGCGGAAUGCCUCAUGGCCAGCAAGGCGAGCAAAGCCACCCCCCACCUCAUCCAUUUCCUCUGCUUUUGGAAAAUGAAUAAUUUUGUGGAGGAUGGUCAUCAUCUCCUCCACAACAUUGUGAACAGUCCUACAAACUCUUGAAAGUGGCAUGCUGAAGUUAUCUGAUGUGACCCUGUAGGAUGCUCCACAGGCAAGCCAAUAAACCGUAACAAGUACUUCAAUUUCACGGCUCCAUCCAUUGGCUUUUUGACGGGGCAGCAUCUGUACCAGCAUGUUGAUGCUGUUCCUGGAGAGCCUGAAAGCUGGCUUUAAAUCCUCUCCAGAAAAAAACUUGACCAGGAUUGGUACCUGGUCAUUGAUCUGUGAAUACCUGCGAGUGGGGCUUUGUUCCUGUUAAAAUAUAUAGAUAAUAUAUAAAUUAAGAAUGUUUUUACUUUUGUUGUAUUAUGUAUUUGUUAUGUAUUGCUUUUAAAAAGUUUUUACUAUAUGUACUGUUGUUGCAUUAUGUAUUUAUUAUAUUUUUGGAUUUUUAAAAUGUUUUUACUAUAUUUAAUGUAUUUAUUACUAUAGGCUAUUUAUUCAGUUGUUUUAAGGAUUUUGUCUAAAAUGUAUUAAUAUCUGCCAUAAUUAAAUUUCCCUCUAACAUUUGCUCUUUUCGUGAAGUAUUUCUUUUAUACUCAAUUUCGGUUUCAUUCAUUUAUUGAUAAGCUCUAGCACAACAUUCAUCCCAGAGUCUAAAAGUUGUAGCCUAUAUGAUUAUUAUAGACAUUAAAUUGUCCUGUUUGUGUUAAUGCAG
This is a long non-coding RNA of Cyprinus carpio carpio, 1171 nucleotides long. The record is from Ensembl. Lineage: Eukaryota; Metazoa; Chordata; Actinopteri; Cypriniformes; Cyprinidae.